AGAGUUGAAGUUCUUUCAUGAUCUUGUGAGAGGUGGUGCAUGGCCGUUCUUAGUUCGUGUAGUGAUAUGUCUGCCUAAUCGCGUCACGAUAACCUAUUGGUCGACAACCCAAUUAUCACAACUGCAGCAUAACUCCCCUUGGGUGGGCGAGGCUCUGUGUAGGAUAGACCUCUGAACAGUACGCAACGAACGCGAUCGUAAUCCCUUGUUGAGUGGCCAUCCUGUAAGCUGCUGGAUUAGGAACCCAGUGGUAUUAUCUCAGCCACAGAUUUUCUGGUUGUAAUGGGCCAGUUUUGAAACUCGGGGAACAUCUGUGACUUUCUUUCUUAACGCAGAGGAAGGUUAUGGCAAUAACAGGUCUGGUGAUGCAA
This 371-nucleotide ribosomal RNA is filed under the name Globigerina bulloides. RNAcentral's name for it is "bacterial SSU rRNA". It matches the Rfam family "Eukaryotic small subunit ribosomal RNA", at positions 1245 to 1472 of the family's 1831-position model. Lineage: Eukaryota; Foraminifera; Rotaliida; Globigerinidae. The record is from RNAcentral.